GAUGAACGCUGGCGGCGUGCCUAAUACAUGCAAGUCGAGCGAACAGACGAGGAGCUUGCUCCUCUGACGUUAGCGGCGGACGGGUGAGUAACACGUGGAUAACCUACCUAUAAGACUGGGAUAACUUCGGGAAACCGGAGCUAAUACCGGAUAAUAUAUUGAACCGCAUGGUUCAAUAGUGAAAGACGGUUUUGCUGACACUUAUAGAUGGAUCCGCGCCGAAUUAGCUAGUUGGUAAGGUAACGGCUUACCAAGGCAACGAUGCGUAGCCGACCUGAGAGGUGGAUCGCCCACACUGGAACUGAGCCACGGUCCAGACUCCUACGGGAGGCAGCAGUAGGGAAUCUUCCGCAAUGGGCGAAAGCCUGACGGAGCAACGCCGCGUGAGUGAUGAAGGUCUUCGGAUCGUAAAACUCUGUUAUCAGGGAAGAACAAAUGUUUAAGUAACUAUGCACGUCUUGACGGUACCUAAUCAGAAAGCCACGGCUAACUACGUG
RNAcentral lists this ribosomal RNA (497 nucleotides) under uncultured bacterium. RNAcentral's name for it is "partial 16S ribosomal RNA". It matches the Rfam family "Bacterial small subunit ribosomal RNA", at positions 28 to 507 of the family's 1533-position model. The record is from RNAcentral.